Long non-coding RNA from Haemorhous mexicanus (house finch), 6919 nucleotides. RefSeq lists it as uncharacterized. NCBI's taxonomy places the organism in Eukaryota, Metazoa, Chordata, Aves, Passeriformes, Fringillidae. The record is from RefSeq and is a predicted model, not a curated record. The transcript has 2 exons.
GCUGGGCCCGCCCAGCUGCUCCAGCUGAGGCAGCGCCACCUCAGGCACCCCAGAAGGGAGGCACUUCAGAAAAGCGGCCCGCGGAUGAACACCCACUUCGCUGAUCUCCGUAAUUGCGAGGGGAGGCAAGCUGGUUGCAGACAGCAAAGAUUUGCAAGACAGUUACAAAUGUGCAUCUGCAAAUGCACAUAGACCCCUUUAGCUGUGCUUGAGGAGGUUAAAAAGAGCAGCUGGAAUACUAGUUCAGGUUGACAAACAGGAAGCAAGCUGUCAAUGUAGGAUGUAAAAACUGUAUUGUUUUUCAGUAAGUAAAACUGUUAUUUUAAAGGCAAGACACAUAGUUCAGUUCACCCUUGUGUUAAUGACCUGAUACAUAUAUUUUUACACUCCAAAGUCCUCAAGCACAAGAACUGUAUUUAGAUGUAGACUCUCCUGUGCCUGCCCUCACAAGGGCCUUAUAUCUAACACCUUAUUUAAUGAUGAAGCCACUGUUCCACUAACUAGAAAUAUCAAGCCAACAGGAACUAUGACUAGGCCUAAUAGAAUAGGUACUUUCCACAUUUUAGUGGAAAUUGUGUGCUUUAAAUGAUACUGCUGCUACUCUUCCAGUGACCGUGAGUGCUAUUGGUUUACUGGGAUUACUAUCAUAGCUUUUGAUUCACAAAAUAGUUGAAAAGUUACAAAAAGUCAGGGUUGCAAGAGGGUCAAAAAAAGUUGACAUCACAGAUCAAGCAGAAUAUUUUCAUACUCUUAUUUAGCACCCACUUUCUUUCUAGGCAGCCAAUAUCUUGAUAUGAGGAUAAAAAGGAGAUGUGGUAGUUUUUUGAAUGACAAAGUAGGCUGGUUACUUCCUGCUGAUUAAUCUUGUCUCUUACCACCUUUUUCCUAUUUGGAGUUUUUACCACUAGGACUUUUCAACACAAAUCUGCCUCAUAUUUUCACUCUGCAAAGGACAGACAAGUUAUCAUACAGAAAACAACUGGGCAGUUAUGUAAAAUUUCAAAUAUAUCACCUUUCAAUCCUGAAGUAUGUAUUUUUCAUGCCUUAACAGGACAAGUUCACUUGGCUGGCACAACUGGAAUUCACACAGCCUUUGGCUUUCUACAGAUGGAAGAACAACAGUUCUGUGAGCAUCAUGCAGGAAUGCUCUCAACUGUUCUGGUAGCAGAAAUAAAGCCCAAAACUGAAGGAGGAACUGUUUGAUUGGAGGAAGUUGUCCUUGAAGACCUCCUGCCAGAUUUCCUGAGGUCCUUUGCCCUUCAGAGCUGCCUCCCAUGGGAUCCUGCCCACUGGUUCUCUGAAUAACUCAGAAUCUGUCUCAUGGAGUCCAGGGACUGUAUUCUGCUGCUCGUUUUCCUCAUGUGCUCUGUCUUGAACGUGGCUAUUUCCAGGUCACUAUCACUGGAGCAACCACUGAUUAUCAUAUCAAACCACUUCCUUCUCCUGUGUGACUAAUAAAGGCAGAACUGCUGCAUCUCCUGUUCCGUUUAGAAAUGCAUUGACUGACUACAUGGAAAUAGCUUAAUAGCAGAAUGCGUAUUCCAUUGAGUUCCAUGCUGGAUAAAUAUACUUUGUUCUGAGAUAAAAUUUAGCCUGGAAUUAUUUUAGUUUCAUUAUCACAGUGCUGUGUGUGUGCCCUGGCAGCUUUGGGUUGUCUGCAUUCAUCACACAGGUAAGCUGCUCUCUGGAUAACACAGCUAUGCAUAACCAGGGCUUAAAUAUGUAUGAAAUUAGGAGUCUUAGUCAUUCACUCUUCUCUAGAUUUUUUUCCUGCUCUUUGCCUUUCUAUGUAUGGUUUUAUUCCUUCUCAUCAGAUGUCUUCCAACAAAAUUUGUUGCUCCAUCAGUGUGGCCAGUGCAAAGAGAAACUAAAAUACCCUCGUUUCUUGGCAAGCUGCUUUCUGUAGUGGUUUAUAUUUUCUUUCUGCUGUUGUUGUUCUUGGAGCAAUAGUAGAAUAGUUGAUGGCAUCAAGACUUAUCCAGACAGGAAAGAGCUAUACAGACAUACACUGAUUUUAAAGAGUGAAAAAAAGCAUCCUGGAAAAUGGAAGUUUUCCUAUUGUGUUAUUUGAACAAAACCAAAACCAAAUCAAAACAAAAAAGAAGCUGGCUAAGAAAAGGAAAAUCUGGCCUUUGUUGCCAUGUCGUAUGAAGUACUGAUUAGAGAAAUUACUCAAUGUGAGGAGCACACAGAGUAGCCAAGGAGGGCAGACUCAUUAAAACCUUUUCAGUACUGCUGGAAUUUCUGCAUGUGAUACUGGCUGUGGUGCUGUAUAUUCUGUCUAGUAGCCUUGCUUCUAUCUUUGCACAUUUUAGGGCAGCCGUAUUUUAAUAAAACAUCAACAUAUUAAUGAGACAUGUUAAAACAAAAUAGAAAAAGUCAGAUGACUGGAACAUCUCUCUGAAAAUUAGCCAGGCUAGACCUGUAAGAUAUGAUUGAACAGCAUGUUUGAAGACUGACUUUACUGGGUCAGUAUAGCAUUAAUAGGAUAAAACUGCAGGGACUAUUAUUAGUGACUCAAAUUCAAAUUUUUCACAUAUCAGUCUUAUCCAAGUAUAUUUUUCUGAAAAAGUUUUGGUCUGACAUGACUAAAUUUUACCAGAUGUGGUUUAACUGACUUAGUCUAAUCAUUUUCUCUUGAAAGGUACUUGGCAUAGCUAAUACAGCUGUCUUGGAAAAAUUAAGUUAAUCUGUGAAUAAUAAAUAUUUCAGCUUAAUACAGCAUGCAAUGAAUAUAAACUAUAAAAGAGCACACUUUUAAUUUAGCAAUGUCAUAAAUUUACAGUUUCUCCGACAAGAAAAUCAGGUUUGUUACUUUUAUCGGUAUUGCUGUACACAGUCCUGGUGUAGCUCUCAAUUUAACUUUCUGGAUCAUGAAAGUAUGUAUUUUUCUUUAAAAAAUUUGGUAUAGCUUAUUUAAAUGCUAAGAUGGAAAAUAAUUUCAAGACAUUCUACCUCAUUACUUAUUUAAGAUUUUUUUAAAUAUGCCUAAUUUUAUACUUUCACACAGCAAAAGGUGCAAUUGUUUCUGCUGUAAAGAAGUCUUUUGGGUUUAAGGUUACUCAAGUUUCAUUUCCCAGCUUGUGUUUCUCCAGGCCAUUUGAUGGCAAUGCCAACAUCCCAGAUCUCUGUAAGUGUAGUUCUUGCAACAAAACCGGCACAAAGAGUAAGCAGAGAUUGACAGGACUAAGAAGUGCCUUACAGGAGAGCUCAGAAUCUCCCCACUAGACCAGAGUUCAAGCACCGUUUUCUUUUGCCCAGGCUCCUUUGCAAUGCUGGAGUCAGCCUCCAGCUGUAGCCCGACUCAGACACAAGGCUUUGGUGCAAGUCAUGCACAGACAGCAAGAGGGCUGUUCCAAAGGACAGAGUGCCUGGCACUGGACAAAGCUGCAAAGCUUUCUUGUUAUAAUGCUUUGCCUCACAUCCCUUCUAGGGGCUUAACAGAUGACAGGAACACUGCCUCAAGUACCUUUUUGCCACCCAGCAGUUAAUCUGUCAUGUCUCUUAUCACUCUUAUUGAGAAGUAGGUGGACUUUUUUAGGUGUAUGGAACUGACAGGAGAUGUAGAAAAAUUUACAUUGGAAGGAAAGCCAAUGAAAACAUAUGGAUUAUCAAGUUAUAUAUACACAGACAACAGAUUUUGGGUUUGUUAGCAUAAAGUUCUAUUUUAUAUUUAGACUAGAAUCCUUUCUAGUAUUUCUUCAGAGGAAAAGUAGUAUCUUGUCAGGUUUAUAGUGUGAUAAAAUAAACACAAGGAAAUAAACAUGUUCACAAUAUAAAAUCUUCAGUAGUAACUCCAGUUUUGUUGGUAUAUUUUUUUGUACCAAAUCCUCUAAAGAGUAUACAAAAAGAGCAGAAUAAGUAAGAGCCUUUAAGUAGCAGUUCAGGAAGAAAACAGUCUUGUCUGGAGUACAGGUCAUCUGCUUUAACAGCAUCAUGUCAACAGUCUGCAGUAUGAACCGAAAAGCCAGAGUAAUACAGAUCAAAUACCUGGGACAUUGAAACAAUCUUUUCUUCUUAGGUAAUAUGCAGUAAUAAACACUUAUAAAAACACAUUUCUCAUCAUUAACAUGAUUUUUAAUAUAUAGACUGGUGCCAUAAGUAGUCUAAAAUAGAGGUUCUUCAUUGAGUAAUUUUCACUGGGCUUUUUAUGCCACUGAAGAAAAUCUGUAGAGGGGCAUAAAAAUUGUGACCAGCAAAUAUCCCCAUGGAUAAAUCUCCUUAAAACAGCUAUUUUUCUUACAUUAUUACACCAUCACCAAUAGCUCGCUGUUCAGGAAUACAAUUUACUGCCAGAAUAAGUGUUUCAGGAACUGGUGUCACCAUGUUUGUGGAUCAGUUCCUGAUUGUCUGCUAAGAUGACCAAGGUAGCUGGAAUGGUUUAAUGUAGACAGUUGAUGGCAAUGUUACUCAACUGAUCACUGCACCCAUUCCUCCAGCUACUGUGCUUUACUUCCUGGAGCCUGUAGAAACAAGGAAUUAUUUUCCCGUUGCUAAAUAAUUAGCACUGCUGCACAUUCAGAUUUGUUUUUUUUUUGUUGUUGUUGUAUUUAGUAUUUGUUACAUAUACCAAGAUUUUCAGUUCAAGGACAUACAAAAACAUUAAGGUCUUAAUGUUUUUAUAAAUUACAUCAUAGCUAAGCACUCAAGCUGUUUCUACACUACACACUUUGGCCAACAGUCAGAGAGAAAGGUUGUGAUCCUCAUCAGUAGCACAGUGCAAAUGCCAUUAUACUGAGGGGAAAAAACCCAAACUCUCCUUUCUGCAGAAACACGCUCAGAGUUUUACUGGUAAGAAUUAAAGCUACACCAUGGGAAUACCCUGCCAGUAUCCCAUGCAAGCAGUUAUCCUGGCAGUGCUCCUAGGGGUGCUCUAUGUUCAAUCCAACAUUUAUUUCCUCUUUUUUUUCCCUCCUUCCUUUCAGCUGUUGUGGUUGCACAGCUCCUUUGUUUUUGUAUCAUCUUCAAAGCAGCACAUCACAUUUUCACAAAAGGAAAUAUUCAAAAUGGUAAUUUAAAAAAGUUUAUUACAUCAGUGAAUCAGCAAAUAGUGAUUAUUUCCAACAAAGCCACAUUAUCUUUUUGUCUUCUUUCAUCUAGAUUUAGCUGUAUUUAAUAGUAGCAAAAAUGGGACUAUAAUAUGUAGAAUGGAGAUGAAAUGAAAAAGUUGAGAUGUAAUCUGAGGACUACUCAAAUACAACGUACUUCCAGCUCUUCUACCCAAAAUGCAGCCAAUUUGUGUACAUUUAUGCCUUACAUUUUCGUAUAUUUGCUAUAUAAUGCAAAUAUUUUAUACCCAAAUAAAAGCCUCCUACAGGAUUGGAAUAUCCUUAAUUGCAUCAUGUGGAUUCUGUUAAUGAAUUUAUAAUAAUACAACCUCUCAGUUUACAGACCGGGUGACAUUAACUGGAAUUAUGGAAAUGGUAAUCAAAUGUACUAGAUGGGAUGAAUAAUGGAAAUACUGACUUUCUAUCUACUGAUACUCCAACCCACCAGGUGAUUAUUCAGUUUAAUAUUAAAUACUCAGUCCAGCCUCAAAAUAAUGAAGUUUUAAAAUCCCACGUUAAGUUUACUCAACAGUGGAAAACUGAUGCUGGAGCAUCAUGGAGUUUUCAGAUACACUUCAGUGCUUUAAAAAAAAGUAUUAAAGGACCUAGCAAUUUAGGAAUCUAACUGUAAGUAUUCUCCAAUAAUGGUCACUGCAAAUUUCAAAUCCAUGAGCUUACUUCAAGAAGUCAGUCAGAUAUCUGGAAAUCUUGUCAGUCCAGAAAAUGAACAAGACAGUAAGCUUCCCUGGCUUUUAAUUUCUUCAUUAGUUUAAGAUCCAAGGAACUGUGGGUUUCGUUCACUUGGUAGAAACAACAAAAAAAAAGAAGUUACUUUUUAAACCCUGAUUUACCAAAAAAAUAAAAGCCCAGAGAUUUGCAGACAUAAUAAAAUUUAUUUAAAUUCCAUGCAUUACGGUAGCUACAAGUGUAGUCAUAUGAAACUGAAGGACAAUAACUUCUUCUGUCCAUACAAUGUAGCUGUAAGUGAAAUGAAUGGGAGUUCCACAGUUACAAAGAAACAAACAAAACAAAACAAAAAAAAAAUCCCAAAAAAGGUAAAUCUGUUUCAGUUUUGAGUUUCAAUUCAGAUACAGUCACUAGACUGCAAAUAUUUGGGGGAGAAGAGGGGCUCACCAAUUUUACAGCUGAGAAUGUUUAGUUUAAGAUAUUCUGAAGAAGCUCAGAAGAUACCUUUUAAUAAUUACUACUAAUACUCUGGAAAAUGCAAAAAAUCCCUUAGCCUUCAUCCUAAUUGUUAGAAUCAGGACAGCAAUUGCAGACAGUCCAUUUUCAAAGUGCAGCUAAAUAGGGUUUUAUUAUGCAGCUCCUUCAAGUUGUAUUGAGUAAGCUUUACUUUGAACCAGUUUUGCUUUAAUUUCUCAAGAAAAACUUCACUGGUCCUCAUAAGCUUACAUUGCUUUUUGAUAUGCAAAAAUUUACAGACUGUGCUUGAUUCUGACCCUCCCAUAUUUCAGUAUGUGCAAACUCUUAGGGAUUUAAAUAGCCUUUCUCCCUCUCAGUUCAGACCGAUCUUUAAAACAGCAAGGAUUAUCUGGCCCUCUAAAUUAAAGCCAGGGUGAACUUAGUAAUUUAUGUAACUGGCACUUUUUAAUUGGCCCAGUUCUCCCACAAAAUGUAGCUCUUAUAAAUACUAAUAGGCACUAUUGCCACAGAUUCUCUUAUUUUUGCAAGUUUCGCUGAUUUACUGGUUGUUAGCAUUUUCUGCAGUUAAGAAUUUAAUAAUGCUGACUUUUUAUAAGGACACAAUAUGUAGUUCUAGCCUUCAAAAUUGACUUCCUGUGUCUAGUAAUGAUGUUAGGUCAACCUAAAUUUGCUGAAGAUAUUAACAAAUGUAAAGCUAAUGAAGGUGC